UACGAAGGGUGCAAGCGUUGUUCGGAUUUAUUGGGCGUAAAGCGCGCGUAGGCGGAUAUUCAAGUCGCAUGUUAAACCCCGAAGCUCAACUUUGGAUGUGCGUGCGAAACUAGAUAUCUAGAAUCUUGGAGGGGAAAGGGGAAUUUCACGUGUAGGGGUAAAAUCCGUAGAGAUGUGAAGGAACACCAGAGGCGAAGGCGCCUUUCUGGCCAAGUAUUGACGCUGAGGUGCGAAAGCGUGGGGAUCAAACAGG
RNAcentral lists this ribosomal RNA (253 nucleotides) under uncultured bacterium. Its description in RNAcentral is "partial 16S ribosomal RNA". It matches the Rfam family "Bacterial small subunit ribosomal RNA", at positions 524 to 776 of the family's 1533-position model. The record is from RNAcentral.